GAAUGAAAAUUGUAUUUAUUAUUCAUGUAAAGAAAUCCACAGAUAUUUCCAAGACAGUUUGCUAUCCAUCCUGAUGAGUGCAACAGCUCAGGCCUCAUUAGGUGAUUGAGGCUAAUUAACUGUAAACAUGAGUCAUAUUACUUUUUUCUUCCAUGCAGUUUAAUUCUAAACAUCCCUGUCUGACCCAGACAGCCCCGUUACUCAUAUAUUUGACACUAAAGGCAUUAUAAGCAAGAAGAUGUAAACAGGAUUGAACGUCCCUGUGCCGUUGGAGAGAUCCUGAUUUUUUUGGAAGCGACGGCGCGCACGUGACGGAGCGGAGCUGCCGCGCUCACGAGCCGUUCGUUAAACCCAAGGACGACGGAGAACCAAACCGAGCCGGCUGAGACUCAUCACGGGGAAGAAACAGAGGUUUUCUCGUCAGAAAUAUUCAAGAGGAGACACGGAGACGAUGGACGGUUAUGGGCUUUCGGAUGACGAGCUUUUCUCCUCCUGUCUGCUCAACUUCACCUGCGAGGAUUCAUCUGAGCAGACUCCCACUGAAGUGCAAGAUGCUUUCUGGAUCUUUCUCAAAUCAUGCUGGAGAACAAUUUGUUGUGCCUGUCAAAACGGUCCAUUUUGUAAUUAUGCUUUUCGCUGCCUGUAAAGUCUCUUCUCUGUGUCAAGUACAAUCUGUUCUGAGGAACGAGUGCCACUGCUGGGAAAGACUGGAAAACAAAGAAAGAAAUUGGCAAACCAUGUCUGGGCUUCAUGUUGACACGUCUGUUUGUAUGACUUGUUCUGCUGGUCUUCGGCCUCACAGUGCAGACAGAUGUUUUAUUCAUAUGAAGACGGGCUCUGCGUUGUUGGAUAAAUUGGCCGUCUCGUGAAGGAGUGCCAGUGAACUUGUCAGGCUGCACAGGGAAUUUCCAAACCCGGCGACCCACAUUGAGCUAAAGACUGGACAAGCUUCCCGCUGAGAGAGCAGAGCACAACAUUAAACAUAAAAGCAUCUCACUUCUUCAGAAUGAAAGGAUUUUAAUAGAGGCUUCAACUGGACAAUAAAUAGUCAGUUAAUUCUGUAAUAAACUUAUAUCUAUAAAAAAUAAAAAAAUAAGCCACUGUAUGUAAUAAUAUUACUUGUUUUUCUUGAGAGAAGCAUAAAACAACGAUAACUACUGUACGUAAAGCAAGGACUGUUCUAAUAACAGGAAUUAUUAGAAAUUAUAUUGUGGAUGAG
Molecule: long non-coding RNA, 1219 nt
Organism: Cyprinus carpio carpio
Lineage: Eukaryota; Metazoa; Chordata; Actinopteri; Cypriniformes; Cyprinidae
Source: Ensembl